GGCUACAGAUGCCCUGAAAUGGUAAUAAAAACAAUAAGUUAAAUAUAUCUAUCCAGCAUUCAUAAUGCUGGGGUCGGUGGUUCAAGUCCACCCGUAGCCACCA
RNAcentral lists this transfer RNA (103 nucleotides) under Porticoccaceae bacterium. Its description in RNAcentral is "tRNA-Leu". Lineage: Bacteria; Pseudomonadati; Pseudomonadota; Gammaproteobacteria; Cellvibrionales; Porticoccaceae. The record is from RNAcentral.